AUUGAACGCUGGCGGCAGGCCUAACACAUGCAAGUCGAGCGGCAGCGGGAAAGUAGCUUGCUACUUUUGCCGGCGAGCGGCGGACGGGUGAGUAAUGCCUGGGAAAUUGCCCAGUCGAGGGGGAUAACAGUUGGAAACGACUGCUAAUACCGCAUACGCCCUACGGGGGAAAGCAGGGGACCUUCGGGCCUUGCGCGAUUGGAUAUGCCCAGGUGGGAUUAGCUAGUUGGUGAGGUAAUGGCUCACCAAGGCGACGAUCCCUAGCUGGUCUGAGGAGAUGAUCAGCCACACUGGAGCUGAGAGACGGUCCAGACACCUACGGGGGGCAGAAGUGGGGAAUAUUGCACGAGGGGGGAAACCCUGAUGCAGCCAUGCCGCGUGUGUGAAGAAGGGCUUCGGGUUGUAAAGCACUUUCAGCGAGGAGGAAAGGUUGAUGCCUAAUACGUAUCAACUGUGACGUUACUCGCAGAAGAAGCACCGGCUAACUCCGUGCCAGCAGCCGCAGUAA
This 508-nucleotide ribosomal RNA is filed under the name uncultured bacterium. Its description in RNAcentral is "partial 16S ribosomal RNA". It matches the Rfam family "Bacterial small subunit ribosomal RNA", at positions 29 to 523 of the family's 1533-position model. The record is from RNAcentral.